Molecule: ribosomal RNA, 397 nt
Filed under: Nematoda sp. YAMAG2018
Lineage: Eukaryota; Metazoa; Nematoda
Description: SSU rRNA
Rfam family: Eukaryotic small subunit ribosomal RNA
Source: RNAcentral
CAGCUGAUCGCACGGUCUUUGCACCGGCGACGCAUCUUUCAAGUGUCUGCCUUAUCAACUUUCGAUGGUAGUUUAUGUGACUACCAUGGUUAUAACGGGUAACGGAGAAUAAGGGUUCGACUCCGGAGAGGGAGCCUGAGAAACGGCUACCACAUCCAAGGAAGGCAGCAGGCGCGCAAAUUACCCACUCUCAGCACGAGGAGGUAGUGACGAAAAAUAACGAGGCGGUUCUCUAUGAGGCCCGCUAUCGGAAUGAGAACAAUAUAAAUCCUUUAACGAGGAUCUAGCGGAGGGCAAGUCUGGUGCCAGCAGCCGCGGUAAUUCCAGCUCCGCCAGUGUAUAUCUAUGCUGCUGCGGUUAAAAAGCUCGUAGUUGGAUCUGCGUGCUAGGAACCGGU